ACGUUAAACCCCAGGGAGUGGGGCUUUGUUCUGUGUUUCGGGUUGCCGUUAAACCCUAGAAAGUUGUUUUGUUCUCCUCUCACAGACAUUUGAACAUGUAAUUUACGGAGAGCUAGUUACCUGUGUUAAUAAUAACUUUUCAA
Molecule: long non-coding RNA, 143 nt
Organism: Athene cunicularia (burrowing owl)
Lineage: Eukaryota; Metazoa; Chordata; Aves; Strigiformes; Strigidae
Exons: 3
Source: RefSeq, a predicted model, not a curated record